UACGUAGGGUGCAAGCGUUGUCCGGAAUUAUUGGGCGUAAAGGGCUCGUAGGCGGUCUGUCACGUCGGGAGUGAAAACUCAGGGCUUAACCCUGAGCCUGCUUCCGAUACGGGCAGACUUGAGGUAUGCAGGGGAGAAUGGAAUUCCUGGUGUAGCGGUGAAAUGCGCAGAUAUCAGGAGGAACACCGGUGGCGAAGGCGGUUCUCUGGGCAUUACCUGACGCUGAGGAGCGAAAGUGUGGGGAGCGAACAGG
This 253-nucleotide ribosomal RNA is filed under the name uncultured bacterium. RNAcentral's name for it is "partial 16S ribosomal RNA". It matches the Rfam family "Bacterial small subunit ribosomal RNA", at positions 524 to 776 of the family's 1533-position model. The record is from RNAcentral.